This is a non-coding RNA of Mus musculus (house mouse), 65 nucleotides long. NCBI's taxonomy places the organism in Eukaryota, Metazoa, Chordata, Mammalia, Rodentia, Muridae. The record is from Rfam.
CUCAGCAGGAUGAUGAGAAGGGCUGAAAUGCUGCCAAACCAGGUCCUUUUCUGAUGGUGGCUGGG